UCUAUAACACACUUCAAGCAAAAAUGGAAACCACCACCACCUCUGCCGCCGCCACCACCUCCACCACCGAUAACACCGGCGGUCUUCACUCCGUCGAGAUGAAUCCACGACACCACAUACUCAACCGCGCAUUUGCACUUAUUUACCUUUUUGCCAUCCUAGUUCUUUUCUAUAACCAUAUACUAAACCUCCUAAAUUCCACAAAUUCCUUUAUAACUUUCUCCAUAUCAUUUUCCAUUUUAAUUUCAGAUUUAAUCUUAGCCUUCAUGUGGACAACCAGUCAACCUUUUCGUAUGCGUCCACUAACACGUAAACAAUAUCCCGAAAAAAUAACAAAAAACUUUAGUAACGAAAUUAAUAAUUUUCCAGCACUCGAUAUAUUUAUUUGUACGGCAGAUCCUUAUAAGGAGCCACCGUUAAACGUCGUUAACACGGCGUUAUCAGUUAUGGCCUACGAUUAUAAUCCGAUUGAAAAAAUAUCGAUUUACGUAUCGGACGAUGGAGGAUCGGAUCUUACGUUAUUUGCUUUUAUGGAAGCUGCAAAAUUUGCUGCAUAUUGGUUGCCUUUUUGUAGGGAAAAUAAAAUAAUUCAAAGGUCUCCAAAUGCAUAUUUCAAUUCUAAUUACAAAGAAAAUUCUGAGACAAAGAAAAUCAAGUUGAUGUACGAAAACAUGAAGAAAAGGAUAGAAGAAGUGAUUGAGAGGGGAAAAGUGGGUGAAGAUUAUAUUAACAAUGAGGAAGAGCUUCAAGCUUUUACCAAAUAUUGGACGCUUGGAUUUACUCGACAUAAUCAUCCUUCUAUUAUUCAGGUUUUGUUAGAAAGUGGCAAAGAUAAAGACAUGACAAGUCACGGGAUGCCAAAUCUUAUUUAUUUUUCAAGAGAAAAAAACACAAGUUCCCCUCAUCAUUUUAAAGCAGGUGCCCUCAAUGCAUUGCUUCGAGUAUCGGGAAUUAUGACAAAUGCACCAAUAAUAUUGACACUUGAUUGUGAUAUGUACUCUAAUGAUCCAUCAACGCCACAACGGGCUUUAUGUUACUUCUUGGACCAAACAUUACGGCCCAAUUUAGCUUACGUUCAGUUUCCUCAAACUUUUCAUGGGCUUAACGAAGCAGAUAUUUAUGCAAAUGAGAUAAAAGCCCUAUUUUUUACUAAUCCAAUGGGCAUGGAUAGGCUUAAUGGGCCUAAUUAUGUUGGAACUGGAUGUUUUUUUCGUUGUCGGGCUUUUUACGGAACUCCAUCUUCGUUCGAGCAGCCCGAAAUUCCAGAACUUUUUCCAGAUCAUAUUGUGAAUAAGCCCAUUAAGGCCCAAGAAAUUUUGCGGCGAGUCCAUUAUGUAGCAAGUUGCAACUAUGAGAGUGAAAGUAAUUGGGGUUCCAAGGUGAGCUUUAGUUCACAUUUUAAUUGCUAUAUUUAAUCUCCUUUGCUACAAACUAACAAUUUCAAAAUUAUGUAGAUUCCUAAAAGGCCUGCAUUUUUAGGAGAUAAACCAAUUUCUCUCUAUGAUGUGGUCAGCCAAAACAAGAGAUGGAAUGUGUGCUCUCUCAAAAUAUAGCCCAUUAACUUUUGGGGUUCAGUCCAUGGGCCUUGUUAUGGCCCAUUGUUAUUCUCACUAUGCAUUCUCGCCCAUUUGGUCAAUACCACUUACUCUAUAUGCCUUCAUCCCUCAACUUACUCUUCUCAAUGGGGUUACCAUCUUUCCAAAGGUUUCAGACCCUUGGUUUUUCUUGUAUAUUUUUAUGUUCCUUGGAGCGUAUGGACAAGAUUGCUUGGUUUUUAUGUCUAAUGAAGGGACAUUUAAAAGGUGGUGGAGUGACCAAAGAAUGUGGAUGAUAAGGGGAUUAACAUCUCACUUAUUUGGAACAAUUGAGUACUUAACUAAACACUUAGGCAUAUCGACACAAGGGUUCAAUGUAACAAGUAAAGUAGUCGAUAAUGACCAAGGUAAAAGGUAUCAUCAAGGAAUUUUCGAGUUUGGGGUUGUUUCGCCUAUGUUUGUGAUACUAGCAACUACAUCAAUCAUCAAUUUAGUAGCAUUUCUCAAAUCAUUAGCACAAAUUAUCAAGGGUGAUCAAAAUUUGGAUGGAAUAUUUAUCCAAAUGUUUAUUGCUGGUUUUGUUGUUAUAAAUUGUUUGCCAAUUUAUGAAGCUAUGGUUUUGAGAAGUGAUAAAGGAAGAAUGCCUACAAGGAUCACUAUUUUCUCAACAUUUCUUGCUUGUAUUCUCUAUAUGGCAUUUGCUGUUCUUCUAGGAAAUAUGUAAUAGCAAAGUUUUUUU
RNA transcript from Solanum stenotomum, 2274 nucleotides. It is a transcript of the gene named cellulose synthase-like protein G3, with no coding region annotated. The transcript is spliced from 6 exons. NCBI's taxonomy places the organism in Eukaryota, Viridiplantae, Streptophyta, Magnoliopsida, Solanales, Solanaceae. The record is from RefSeq and is a predicted model, not a curated record.